UGCAAGCCGAGCGGUAUUGUUUCUUCGGAAAUGAGAGAGCGGCGUACGGGUGCGGAACACGUGUGCAACCUGCCUUUAUCUGGGGGAUAGCCUUUCGAAAGGAAGAUUAAUACUCCAUAAUAUAUUGAACGGCAUCGUUUAAUAUUGAAAGCUCCGGCGGAUAGAGAUGGGCACGCGCAAGAUUAGCUAGUUGGUGAGGUAACGGCUCACCAAGGCAAUGAUCUUUAGGGGGCCUGAGAGGGUGAUCCCCCACACUGGUACUGAGACACGGACCAGACUCCUACGGGAGGCAGCAGUGAGGAAUAUUGGUCAAUGGGUGCAAGCCUGAACCAGCCAUCCCGCGUGAAGGACGACUGCCCUAUGGGUUGUAAACUUCUUUUGUAUAGGGAUAAACCUUUCCACGUGUGGAAAGCUGAAGGUACUAUACGAAUAAGCACCGGCUAACUCCGUGCCAGCAC
This 458-nucleotide ribosomal RNA is filed under the name activated sludge bacterium OC18b. RNAcentral's name for it is "bacterial SSU rRNA". It matches the Rfam family "Bacterial small subunit ribosomal RNA", at positions 56 to 514 of the family's 1533-position model. The record is from RNAcentral.